CCUACGGGAGGUAGCAGUGGGGAAUAUUGGGCAAUGGGCGCAAGCCUGACCCAGCAACGCCGCGUGAAGGAAGAAGGCUUUCGGGUUGUAAACUUCUUUUGACAGGGAAGAGCAGAAGACGGUACCUGUCGAAUAAGCCACGGCUAACUACGUGCCAGCAGCCGCGGUAAUAGGUAGGUGGCAAGCGUUGUCCGGAUUUACUGGGGGUAAAGGGCGUGUAGCCGGGCUGACAAGUCAGAUGUGAAAUCCGGGGGCUCAACCCCCGAACUGCAUUUGAAACGGUUGGUCUUGAGUAUCGGGGAGGCAGGCGGAAUUCCUGGUGUGGCGGUGAAAUGGGUAGAUAGUGGGAGGAACACCAGUGGCGAGGGCGGCCUGCGGGACGAAAACUGACGGUGAGGCGCAAAAGCGGGGGAGCAAACAGGAUUAGAUACCCUGGUAGUC
This 441-nucleotide ribosomal RNA is filed under the name uncultured bacterium. RNAcentral's name for it is "partial 16S ribosomal RNA". It matches the Rfam family "Bacterial small subunit ribosomal RNA", at positions 338 to 795 of the family's 1533-position model. The record is from RNAcentral.